GACGAACGCUGGCGGCGUGCUUAACACAUGCAAGUCGAACGGUGAAGGGAAGCUUGCUUCCCGGAUCAGUGGCGAACGGGUGAGUAACACGUGGGCAAUCUGCCCCAGACUUUGGGAUAACUACUCGAAAGAGUAGCUAAUACCGAAUAUUCAGCCUUGCAGGCAUCUGCGAGGCUGGAAAGUUUCUCGGUCUGGGAUGAGCCCGCGGCCUAUCAGCUAGUUGGUGAGGUAAUGGCUCACCAAGGCGACGACGGGUAGCCGGCCUGAGAGGGCGACCGGGCCACACUGGGACUGAGACACGGCCCAGACUCCUACGGGAGGCAGCAGUGGGGAAUAUUGCGCAAUGGGCGAAAGCCUGACGCAGCAACGCCGCGUGCGGGAUGAA
Molecule: ribosomal RNA, 385 nt
Filed under: uncultured bacterium
Lineage: Bacteria
Description: bacterial SSU rRNA
Rfam family: Bacterial small subunit ribosomal RNA
Source: RNAcentral